This 460-nucleotide ribosomal RNA is filed under the name uncultured bacterium. RNAcentral describes it as "partial 16S ribosomal RNA". It matches the Rfam family "Bacterial small subunit ribosomal RNA", at positions 338 to 795 of the family's 1533-position model. The record is from RNAcentral.
CCUACGGGAGGCAGCAGUGAGGAAUAUUGGUCAAUGGGCAUAAGCCUGAACCAGCCAAGUCGCGUGAGGGAUGAAGGUUCUAUGGAUCGUAAACCUCUUUUAUAAGGGAAUAAAGUGUGGGACGUGUCCUGUUUUGUAUGUACCUUAUGAAUAAGGAUCGGCUAACUCCGUGCCAGCAGCCGCGGUAAUACGGAGGAUCCGAGCGUUAUCCGGAUUUAUUGGGUUUAAAGGGUGCGUAGGCGGCCUGUUAAGUCAGCGGUGAAAGUCUGUGGCUCAACCAUAGAAUUGCCGUUGAAACUGGGAGGCUUGAGUAUGUUUGAGGCAGGCGGAAUGCGUGGUGUAGCGGUGAAAUGCUUAGAUAUCACGCAGAACCCCGAUUGCGAAGGCAGCCUGCCAAGCCAUGACUGACGCUGAUGCACGAAAGCGUGGGGAUCAAACAGGAUUAGAUACCCCAGUAGUC